This 252-nucleotide ribosomal RNA is filed under the name uncultured bacterium. RNAcentral's name for it is "partial 16S ribosomal RNA". It matches the Rfam family "Bacterial small subunit ribosomal RNA", at positions 524 to 776 of the family's 1533-position model. The record is from RNAcentral.
UACAGAGGGGGCAAGCGUUAUUCGGAAUUAUUGGGCGUAAAGGGCGCGUAGGCGGCUUUGCAAGUGACGGGUGAAAUCCCUCGGCUUAACCGAGGAACUGCCUGUCAAACUGCAUGGCUUGAGACCGGGAGAGGUGAGUGGAAUUCCCAGUGUAGCGGUGAAAUGCGUAGAUAUUGGAGGAACACCAGUGGCGAAGGCGGCUCACUGGACCGGUACUGACGCUGAUGCGCGAAAGCGUGGGGAGCAAACGGG